UUCCAUUUCACUAGGUGCCAUCAACUGCAAAUGCUGCCCUGCAUGGAGCUCCAAGUCUCUUGAUGCCUUGCCUUUGGGGAGUGAUGCCACCCGCCUCUGCUUCUUCCUCAAAGGUCACAUCCCGCUGAUGACAUAAAGGAAAUGGCCCUUCUUCAUUAUCUAUCGUGUUGUCAUUGUCAAGUCUGCCCUUGCUGUUGCCACUGCUGAUGAUAAUCGUUAACGAUGGCGAUGUUUAUAAGGAAGCUUGACUGCCCAAACAAUCUGUGAAGAGCAUCCAUGACUUUCUCUACAUGCCCAGGAUCCACCGAAUUAUCUCUCAGAAAGAAGCCUUGAAAACUGGCACAUUUGAGUUGUU
Molecule: long non-coding RNA, 355 nt
Organism: Talpa occidentalis (Iberian mole)
Lineage: Eukaryota; Metazoa; Chordata; Mammalia; Eulipotyphla; Talpidae
Exons: 3
Source: RefSeq, a predicted model, not a curated record